UACGUAGGGCGCAAGCGUUGUCCGGAAUUAUUGGGCGUAAAGAGCUCGUAGGCGGCUUGUCACGUCGGGUGUGAAAGCCCGGGGCUUAACCCCGGGUCUGCAUUCGAUACGGGCAGGCUAGAGUGUGGUAGGGGAGAUCGGAAUUCCUGGUGUAGCGGUGAAAUGCGCAGAUAUCAGGAGGAACACCGGUGGCGAAGGCGGAUCUCUGGGCCAUUACUGACGCUGAGGCGCGAAAGCUAGGGGAGCAAACGGG
RNAcentral lists this ribosomal RNA (253 nucleotides) under uncultured bacterium. RNAcentral describes it as "partial 16S ribosomal RNA". It matches the Rfam family "Bacterial small subunit ribosomal RNA", at positions 524 to 776 of the family's 1533-position model. The record is from RNAcentral.